Pelobates cultripes (western spadefoot toad) is the source of this 159-nucleotide non-coding RNA. The record is from the annotation of a GenBank genome assembly. Lineage: Eukaryota; Metazoa; Chordata; Amphibia; Anura; Pelobatidae.
GCUGACACAUCCCUGCCAAUCUCUGGCAGACCCUCCCUCCCAGACCCUCCUACUUCCUGGACAGCAUCCAUGUUGAAGGCAGCUUCAACAUGGAUGCUGUCCAGGAGGUGGGAGGGUCUGGGAGGGAGGGUCUGCCGGAGAUUGGCAGGGAUGUGUCAG